This 253-nucleotide ribosomal RNA is filed under the name uncultured bacterium. RNAcentral describes it as "partial 16S ribosomal RNA". It matches the Rfam family "Bacterial small subunit ribosomal RNA", at positions 524 to 776 of the family's 1533-position model. The record is from RNAcentral.
UACGGAGGAUCCGAGCGUUAUCCGGAUUUACUGGGUUUAAAGGGUGCGUAGGCGGGCGCCUAAGUCAGCGGUGAAAUGCAGCGGCUCAACCGUUGAACUGCCGUUGAAACUGGGCGCCUUGGAUGCGGUCGAGGCCGGCGGAAUGCGUGGUGUAGCGGUGAAAUGCUUAGAUAUCACGCAGAACGCCAAUUGCGAAGGCAGCUGGCCGGGCCGCAAUCGACGCUGAGGCACGAAAGCGUGGGGAUCAAACAGG